UACGGGGGGGGCAAGCGUUGUUCGGAUUUACUGGGCGUAAAGGGCGCGUAGGCGGCCACUGCAAGUCGGUUGUGAAAUCUCCGGGCUUAACCCGGAAAGGUCAAUCGAUACUGCAGGGCUAGAGUGCGGAAGGGGCAACUGGAAUUCUCGGUGUAGCGGUGAAAUGCGUAGAUAUCGAGAGGAACACCUGCGGCGAAGGCGGGUUGCUGGGCCGACACUGACGCUGACAGCGCGAAAGCUAGGGGAGCGAACGGG
Molecule: ribosomal RNA, 255 nt
Filed under: uncultured bacterium
Lineage: Bacteria
Description: partial 16S ribosomal RNA
Rfam family: Bacterial small subunit ribosomal RNA
Source: RNAcentral